UUUCCGUAGGUGGACCUGCGGAAGGAUCAUUACAGAGUUCAUGCCCUGACGGGUAGAUCUCCCACCCUUGAAUAUUUAUACCUUAGUUGCUUUGGCAGGCCGUGGAAACACCAUGGGCUCCGGCUUAUGCGUGCCUGCCAGAGGAAACAAACUCUGUUUUUAGUGAUGUCUGAGUACUAUAUAAUAGUUAAAACUUUCAACAACGGAUCUCUUGGUUCUG
Molecule: unclassified non-coding RNA, 220 nt
Filed under: plant metagenome
Description: partial contains small subunit ribosomal RNA, internal transcribed spacer 1, and 5.8S ribosomal RNA
Source: RNAcentral